This 97-nucleotide small nuclear RNA is filed under the name Cervus elaphus hippelaphus. Lineage: Eukaryota; Metazoa; Chordata; Mammalia; Artiodactyla; Cervidae. The record is from RNAcentral.
GUGCUCGCUUCGGCAGCACAUAUACUAAAAUUGGAACGAUACAAAGAAGAUUAGCAUGGCCCCUGCGCAAGGAUGACACGCAAAUUUGUGAAGCGUU